This is a long non-coding RNA of Megalobrama amblycephala (Wuchang bream), 817 nucleotides long. RefSeq lists it as uncharacterized. The transcript is spliced from 4 exons. The record is from RefSeq and is a predicted model, not a curated record. NCBI's taxonomy places the organism in Eukaryota, Metazoa, Chordata, Actinopteri, Cypriniformes, Xenocyprididae.
GACCGCAUCCAUAACGGUCGACAGUGACGUCACGUGCACAACCUCUCAACCCAUUGCGCGUUAGACGUUUAGACGAGGAUGACGAGGAUUCGAUUAGAACUACAAAAACGAAGAAAAAAACUACAAACAUGACGAAUGUGCGGGACUGACGGUUAAGUAGAGCGGUUUAUUUGACCGAUUAAUACUCAGUAUCUAACCUGACAUUGAUUUAAUCUAGCAACAGAAUUGUGGACUUUUAUAAAGAUGCGUUUGGUCAUUAACUUGUAAAUGAAUCACUAUGCAAACAUGAGGAUAGUUCUUCGCAUGAAAGCUAGACGCAUGACUGGCAGAUCAAUGUGAUACAACUUUUCUCCCCGAGUCCAAAAUGGAGCAGAAGGGACGUUUGGACCUACUGCCAGCAGGCUGUAACAGACAGAUGGGUUUUCACACAAACAACAGAAAACAUCAAGAGCAGUCAGGCUGGCACACACAGAAGAAUCAGCAAAGGGAAGAAAGUCUGGAUAAUGAGGCACUGCUAGCAUGAGAUGAUAAUUCACUCUGUGCUGUGAGAAGACAAACUGUCCAGUCCAUUUAGAGUUCAACUCCAUAGUUGCAAAGCCAUAUGCAGAUGGCGGGCAAACGUCAGAAUCCUGUUGAUAUCAAGUUAUCCAAACCGCACACCAAUGCAGUUUUGAACUCAAAGGACAAUUCUGAGAAAAAAGGGUGUUUCACUCCUGUACCUUGCCAACGAUGGGCAGAUCCACUGAACCCCAUGUGUCAGCACCCCAAUGGACCAGACCAGAGGCAAAGUCUGCUGUGAGGAUCCCUGCCACUUCAC